UUUUCUCCUCAGUAGAGUCCCCAGUGGAUUCAUUUCUAUGUUUCCCCGGAAGUUCAUCCUAACCUAUGACUGAUAUUUUCUUCCCCUGUCUGAGUUUAUCCUUGAUAUGUUCAUCCUAACCGAUGACGGAUAUUCUCAUCUUUGGUAUUCUACCCAGUAGAAAGGUAGUUGUAAUCCCUAUCCUAUUCCCCAGAGAGUUAAUCCUUGAUAUGUUCAUCUUAACCGAUGACGAGUUUCCUUCUCUUUGCAGUCUUCUACCCAGUAACCGAUAGUUGUAAAU
RNAcentral lists this long non-coding RNA (280 nucleotides) under Lathyrus oleraceus (garden pea). RNAcentral describes it as "Pisum sativum (pea) long non-coding RNA (PSAT_LNC031228)". Lineage: Eukaryota; Viridiplantae; Streptophyta; Magnoliopsida; Fabales; Fabaceae. The record is from RNAcentral.